This is a long non-coding RNA of Trichogramma pretiosum, 291 nucleotides long. RefSeq lists it as uncharacterized. The record is from RefSeq and is a predicted model, not a curated record. Lineage: Eukaryota; Metazoa; Arthropoda; Insecta; Hymenoptera; Trichogrammatidae. The transcript has 2 exons.
UAUAAAUCACAAUCAGAAAAAUGUUCAAAUCUCCGUCACUAUUUGUACUGCUCGUGGCUGGUUGCCUGAUACUGUUUGCCAGUAAUGCCGUUGAAGGACAGCAACGCCGGACCAAGGAUCUACCGUUCGAACCGUAGUUCUCGACGACUUUACGUUCUUCAAAUCCAAAGCACAAAUGAUAGUUAUUAAGCUCCGAUUUUUAUUUACGUUGUUACAUUUUAUGAAAGAUAACAUGUAUAAUCGAUGUUCAAAUUUUAUAUAAAGAGAUUAUAAAAACGAAUCGGCUUGGAA